UUCACCUGACAAACAUGUUGGAUACACUCCUGUUGUCCAGCUCCACUGAGAUUUACUGUUUGUUCCCUUUCUGUUUUAAAGGCUAAUAUGCAAACAGAGUAAUCCUAUCUUUACACAGGUCUUCAUUUAAAAGUACUGUUUCAUUGUAUUACUGUCAAACCUCUCUGAUCCAGCUGGAGAUUGGCCCAGAGUGCCUGUGCACAUCUUUCAUCUGCUGCUCUCAAUCAGUUUCUAGUGUAAAACAAACAAAAGGUAAUAACUGCCCCACCAGCAUGUGCAUGUGUAACAUGCACAGCUGUACAGUGCAACCACAGACUGAGACUCUUAGCUUCAUCUUUCUUUUACCACAUUUAUGCUGUUUCUGUAAUUUGCUAUGUUCAUUUUGUCAAUCUGCUUCUGUUGGAACUGCAAAUAAAGAAUUGAAUAGGUCUAGAUCUAGGAUGAAACGAC
This is a long non-coding RNA of Monopterus albus (swamp eel), 450 nucleotides long. RefSeq lists it as uncharacterized. NCBI's taxonomy places the organism in Eukaryota, Metazoa, Chordata, Actinopteri, Synbranchiformes, Synbranchidae. The record is from RefSeq and is a predicted model, not a curated record. The transcript has 2 exons.